UUCUUAUGUGGUUCUGUAAGACCUCUUGGACUUUAUUUCAAGCCCUUAAACUCCUUUUGCUUUGUAGCAUCCCCUUCCACAUCUUAGAACCUGACGUCCCAGAAACUGAUGUCUGUACGCCUUCCUCUUCCUCCCUCCUUGCCUAAAUAAACCACAUCUACUUAUCUUCUUAAUCUUCUUGGUUUCCCUCUUUCUCAGCAAACCCUCCUAUUUUCCACUUCAUCCCUGGUUUACCAUGUUAUGUUGCAGUGUAAUGCCUGUUAUAACUAAAGACCAGGACACAUAAUUUAUCUGUGAAUCUGUGAGCAGAAAGAGCAGAAAGAAUGAGGGCAUCCAGUGUUAACCAUUUGACAAAACAAUAGAUAUAAUAUCUGCUGACUGAAACGAAAUUGGUCCUUUUACUGAAUAUCAGAAGCUAAUCUUAUUCUCAAAAGA
This 435-nucleotide long non-coding RNA is filed under the name Bos taurus (domestic cattle). RNAcentral describes it as "long non-coding RNA NONBTAT019719". The record is from RNAcentral. Lineage: Eukaryota; Metazoa; Chordata; Mammalia; Artiodactyla; Bovidae.